Long non-coding RNA from Mauremys mutica (yellowpond turtle), 1262 nucleotides. RefSeq lists it as uncharacterized. The transcript has 4 exons. The record is from RefSeq and is a predicted model, not a curated record. Lineage: Eukaryota; Metazoa; Chordata; Testudines; Geoemydidae.
UCUACUUUUACCCCUGGACUGAGCCAUGCAUUUGGUGUGGUGCUGCCAUGCCCGAAAGGGCUACCAGAGACUGGUGGCUCUUCCUUCCCUGACUGGAAGGUUGGGAGGAACCCUGCCCAAGCAAAAUGGGGAAAAUAAGCCAAGGGGUGUGGGGAAGUAACACAGGGAAGCUAGCAGCUUUCCUGGGAACUGGCAGUGUGAGGCUGCUACUUGUAGGGUCCCUAGGUUGGGGCCUGGAGUAGAGAGCAGGACUACCCCCUCCCCCUUUCCUCUCACUGGAUGUCCACUGAGGUGUCCCAAAGCCCCAGUGAAGCAGUGAAGGCUUAGCAGGCCCAGAAAUGGGAAGGCCGCUUGGAGACAGAAUUUCCCCACCCACUAUAAAUGGGUGUGGGGUGGGGAGGGGGAAUCUAGGGGCUGAGAGGCUAUCCUGACCCACAAGCACAGGACCCACUGAGGCGGAGAAGAAGCCCUGCUACGGAUGGUAAUCAAAGUGGUGAACUUUUCCACCUAUUUUACCGAACUCUUACUCUGAAGAUAAAGAAAAUAACGGCAUUCACUGUACUCUCAUGAGAGAAACCACAGUAUGAAAAGAGCAGUGGUAUUUUGUGGAGGGCACAGGACCUUCUAUGGCACCAUUUCAUCAUCUUUAAAAAAAAAAAAAACUUACAGAACAAAGAAACCCAGAUCCUGGUGUGGUAUCUAGUCCCAGCAGAAGUCUUGUGAUAGAGAUCAUAUAAUCCUUCACAAAUGACUGCAAGAUUAGAAAGAGAGAGAGAAAAGAAAGUUUAAGUGCACAGAUGAGCAGGUGAUUACAAGUUUGUUUAUUAGGAAUCACAGAAUCAUCGAACUGGAAGGGAUCUCGAGAGGUCAUCUUGUCCAGUCCCCUGCACUCAUGGCAGGACUAAGUAUUAUCUACACCAGAGGUUCUCUAACUGUGGUCUGCAGAUCGCCAGUGGUCCAUGAGCUCCAUUCAGGUGGUCCGUGGAUAGUUACCUCUAAGAUAAAUUACAUUAGGUCCUACUGCUGCUUGUUCCCCCCGCUAUCAGAGGGGAGAGCUAACAGGUUUGAGGCAUUUUCAAGACAUCAGUGACAAAUGAAAUGCCGGCUUUCAAUCCUAGAGAUGUCAUGAACGGUGGGUCAGUGUGGUAAAGAUACUCUGCAAACUUCCAAGUUAAAGAGUCACAUUUGCAUACAGAAUAGCAGUCUGCUGGAACCAAUGUGUCAUUUAUAUGUACUCAUGUUGAAUUUCAUCAUGUUGUCAU